CACAAUAUACACCAUGUGCAUCCCUAUGUUUGUUCGAGGCACCAAGAUGCCCCCGGAGGACGAGUGUCCCAGAAUGUCUAUGGCCAAGAUACGAAGUCUGUCUCGGCCCAAUUCCAAGGCCUCCUCGGAGAAGAAGGAACCUGCAACUGCACAACCACCAACUGCACAGGUUCCAGCCGCACACCAGUAAGAUGAUACGGCAGUCCGUUGGCGAUCUAUGUCGGUGGCGGCUGUGUGUGGCUAUUUGUCAGUGAGGGACUCUUAGCGGGUGAUUGAGGACUAAUGAAGCUGGAUGAGAACUCCGCUUGACCGCCUCAAGGGAUGAGAUAACGAAGAGGGGGGGAUAUUCCAUUGGACACAGCAAUAAUUUAAUUUUAAUGAACAGAUUUAAUGUGAUACGGUUGUUUCGACCAACAUGU
This 419-nucleotide unclassified non-coding RNA is filed under the name Yarrowia lipolytica. The record is from RNAcentral. Lineage: Eukaryota; Fungi; Ascomycota; Dipodascomycetes; Dipodascales.